This 301-nucleotide ribosomal RNA is filed under the name uncultured bacterium. RNAcentral describes it as "partial 16S ribosomal RNA". It matches the Rfam family "Bacterial small subunit ribosomal RNA", at positions 509 to 807 of the family's 1533-position model. The record is from RNAcentral.
CAGUAGCCGCGGGAAUACGAAGGGGGCUAGCGUUGUUCGGAAUCACUGGGCGUAAAGGGUGCGUAGGCGGAUUCUUAAGUCAGGGGUGAAAUCCCGAGGCUCAACCUCGGAACUGCCUUUGAUACUGUUAGUCUUGAGUUCGAGAGAGGUGAGUGGAACUGCGAGUGUAGAGGUGAAAUUCGUAGAUAUUCGCAAGAACACCAGUGGCGAAGGCGGCUCACUGGCUCGAAACUGACGCUGAGGCACGAAAUCGUGGGGAGCAAACAGGAUUAGAGACCCGUGUAGUCCCUGUCUCUUAUAC